AGAGUUUGAUCCUGGCUCAGGAUGAACGCUGGCGGCGUGCCUAACACAUGCAAGUCGAACGAAGCAUACACCACGGAAGCCUCCGGGCGGAAGAGGGGUAUGACUGAGUGGCGGACGGGUGAGUAACGCGUGGGCAACCUGCCCUGUACCGGGGGAUAACACCCAGAAAUGGGUGCUAAUACCGCAUAAGCGCACAGUGCCGCAUGGCACGGUGUGAAAAACUCCGGUGGUACAGGAUGGGCCCGCGUCUGAUUAGCUAGUUGGCAGGGUAACGGCCUACCAAGGCAGCGAUCAGUAGCCGGCUUGAGAGAGUGACCGGCCACAUUGGGACUGAGACACGGCCCAAACUCCUACGGGAGGCAGCAGUGGGGAAUAUUGCACAAUGGGGGAAACCCCGAUGCAGCGACGCCGCGUGAGUGAAGAAGUAUUUCGGUAUGUAAAGCUCUAUCAGCAGGGAAGAAGAUGACGGUACCUGACUAAGAAGCCCCGGCUAACUACGUG
RNAcentral lists this ribosomal RNA (501 nucleotides) under uncultured Lachnospiraceae bacterium. RNAcentral describes it as "bacterial SSU rRNA". It matches the Rfam family "Bacterial small subunit ribosomal RNA", at positions 8 to 507 of the family's 1533-position model. The record is from RNAcentral. Lineage: Bacteria; Bacillati; Bacillota; Clostridia; Lachnospirales; Lachnospiraceae.